This 253-nucleotide ribosomal RNA is filed under the name uncultured bacterium. RNAcentral describes it as "partial 16S ribosomal RNA". It matches the Rfam family "Bacterial small subunit ribosomal RNA", at positions 524 to 776 of the family's 1533-position model. The record is from RNAcentral.
UACGAAGGGGGCUAGCGUUGUUCGGAAUUACUGGGCGUAAAGCGUGCGCAGGCGGCUUCUCAAGUCAGGGGUGAAAGCCCAGAGCUCAACUCUGGAAUUGCCUUUGAGACUGAGUGGCUUGAGUACGAGAGAGGUGAGUGGAAUUCCCAGUGUAGAGGUGAAAUUCGUAGAUAUUGGGAAGAACACCCGUGGCGAAGGCGGCUCUCUGGGACGGUACUGACGCUGAGACGCGAAAGCGUGGGGAGCGAACAGG